Eubalaena glacialis (North Atlantic right whale) is the source of this 146-nucleotide long non-coding RNA. RefSeq lists it as uncharacterized. The transcript has 3 exons. The record is from RefSeq and is a predicted model, not a curated record. Lineage: Eukaryota; Metazoa; Chordata; Mammalia; Artiodactyla; Balaenidae.
CGAGGAGGCGGAGCGCUUUCCCCGAGAGCGCAGUGAGUGGGACGCGGUGCCUGUCUCUUCUCCCUCCACAGAUGAGAGAAUUGAGACAAGGAAAUUAUAUGCCCUGCUCGAUAUAAAUACAACUGGCUAUAAACUUCAGGAAGGCA